Molecule: long non-coding RNA, 996 nt
Organism: Astyanax mexicanus (Mexican tetra)
Lineage: Eukaryota; Metazoa; Chordata; Actinopteri; Characiformes; Acestrorhamphidae
Exons: 3
Source: RefSeq, a predicted model, not a curated record
GUAAUACUUACGAGAUUGCUUUUAAACACUGAUGUGAUGAAAACAUGCCACAAUGAAAAUCAAUAGCUCCAGUGUGUGUGGAUUUGUAUUUAAAGAAAGAAACGCAGAAUUAGUGUCACAAGCCACCUUAAAAUGCAAUCUAACGAACGGCAUUGUAUUCCACUGUGUGGCGCUGCAAAUGUGCAAAAGCAAAUCACAAUGCAUAGGAUUGCAUUCCGUCUAGGCAAGCGCUGUAAUCGUGCCACAUGUAAAUUUAAUAACUGUCCAAUAGGAGUGCUCCCUCAAAUUUGGGGCGGGGCUUAGACAUCAGUCAGAAGCAAUCACUGGUAGUUGUACUUGAAAGCUGAAUAAAUGUCUUUUCGUGACAGGAUAAAAGAGCAAAUAAACACUGUAAUUGAACAAAUUGAGGCUGGGUCAGUUACAGACGACUAUGUGAUUUUCAAACUGGAGUGGAUUUUAGAGAACACAGGCCAUGUUCUCACACUUCGCGGCGAAGACUUUCCAGAAACCUUCAAAAAUGCACUGAGGAACAUUCUGGAACAACUCUGUGCUCCAGCAGUCCAACCGAGAGCAGGAGGACCUCAGAAAAUACCUGUCCCACUCAGCGGUAUAAUUCGCUAUCUCAGCCUUGGAUUAUCAGUACCAGCUGUUGCAAAAAUAUUCGGCGUAUCAGUUCGAACCCUUCGAAGGCGAAUGGAGGAAAAUGACGUGCGGUACGUCUAUCAAAUAUAACUACGUUAUAGAGUGGCUGAUUUCUACAACAACCUCUCAGAUGAGGAACUUGACGGUGUUGUAAGGGAUUUGCAGCGUAUGUUCCCUAACUCGGGGUACCGGAUGAUGCAAGGCUAUCUUAAAGGAAGAGGAAUUAGAGUUCAAGAGCACAGACUGAAACAGUCAAUGCUGCGCACAGACCCUCAAGGAUUGCUUGAGCGUACACUCUGUCUACAUACUGUUAGAAGGAGAGUGUACAAUGUUCCUGCUCCAAAUUGCCUUUGG